AUAAUGAUACUUCCGUAACUCGCGGCUCGGCCACAAUGAAGGCGGAGAGGUGAAAUUCCUAUGA
This 64-nucleotide non-coding RNA is filed under the name unclassified sequences. The record is from Rfam.